Molecule: small RNA, 69 nt
Filed under: Leishmania major strain Friedlin
Lineage: Eukaryota; Euglenozoa; Kinetoplastea; Trypanosomatida; Trypanosomatidae
Description: Leishmania major h/ACA-like snoRNA
Source: RNAcentral
GCCGCACAACUCCCUUGGAAUGGUGGGUGCCUCAUCCCACGCAAGUCCUUGUCCUGUUGUGCCAGAGCG